UUGGAGGGCAAGUCUGGUGCCCGCAGCCGCGGUAAUUCCAGCUCCAAUAGCGUAUAUUAAAGUUGUUGCAGUUAAAAAGCUCGUAGUUGAAUUUCGGGGUUAGUAGGUUGGUCAUGCCUCUGGUAUGUACUGGUCUCACAGAUUCCUCCUUCCUGAUGAACCGUAAUGCCAUUAAUUUGGUGUUGCGGGGAAUUUGGACUGUUACUUUGAAAAAAUUAGAGUGUUUAAAGCAGGC
Molecule: ribosomal RNA, 235 nt
Filed under: uncultured Glomus
Lineage: Eukaryota; Fungi; Glomeromycota; Glomeromycetes; Glomerales; Glomeraceae
Description: partial 18S ribosomal RNA
Rfam family: Eukaryotic small subunit ribosomal RNA
Source: RNAcentral